Molecule: long non-coding RNA, 277 nt
Organism: Scomber japonicus (chub mackerel)
Lineage: Eukaryota; Metazoa; Chordata; Actinopteri; Scombriformes; Scombridae
Exons: 3
Source: RefSeq, a predicted model, not a curated record
GCGUAGCAUUUCUCUCACCUCCUGUCUUCUGGCAUCCAGGCCUAGCAAGCUGACAAAGCAACUGAUCUGCAACAGGAAAUCGAUAAAAACAGCCAAGCCAGCAAACAGAGAGAAAGUCCUCACUGCAGGCAUGUUGGACAGGGCUCCUGCAGAAGAACAAGUCAACAGUAUUAUCAGCAUGUGACACAUCAUGGCACUUUUGGCGGAAAGAAGAAGGCCACUGUCUCAGAGAAGGAGGAGAGGAACAUGCUGGGGGCGAUGUCACCAAGAAUACGAC